GACGAACGCUGGCGGCGUGCUUAACACAUGCAAGUCGAACGGAAAGGCCCUGCGUUUGCGGGGUGCUCGAGUGGCGAACGCGUGAGUAACACGUGAGUAACCUGCCCUUGACUGUGGGAUAACUCCAGGAAACUGGGGCUAAUACCCGAUAGGAGCUCCUGCUGCACGGUGGGGGUUGGAAAGUUUCGGCGGUUGGGCAUGGACUCGCGGUUUAUCAGCUUGUUGGGGGGGUAGUGGCUACCAAGGCUUUGCCGGGUAGCCGGCCUGAGAGGGUGACCGGCCACAUUGGGACUGAGAUACGGCCCAGACUCCUACGGGAGGCAGCAGUGGGGAAUAUUGCACAAUGGGCGGGAGCCUGAUGCAGCAACGCCGCGUGCGGGAUGACGGCCUUCGGGUUGUAAACCGCUUUCGCCUGUGACGAAGCGUGAGUGACGGUAAUGGGUAAAGAAGCACCGGCUAACUACGUG
Molecule: ribosomal RNA, 467 nt
Filed under: uncultured bacterium
Lineage: Bacteria
Description: partial 16S ribosomal RNA
Rfam family: Bacterial small subunit ribosomal RNA
Source: RNAcentral